AGUGAACGCUGGCGGUAGGCCUAACACAUGCAAGUCGAACGGCAGCACAGUAAGAGCUUGCUCUUACGGGUGGCGAGUAGCGGACGGGUGAGGAAUACAUCGGAAUCUACUUUUUCGUGGGGGAUAACGUAGGGAAACUUACGCUAAUACCGCAUACGACCUACGGGUGAAAGUAGGGGAUCUUCGGACCUUGCGCGAUUGAAUGAGCCGAUGUCGGAUUAGCUAGUUGGCGGGGUAAAGGCCCACCAAGGCGACGAUCCGUAGCUGGUCUGAGAGGAUGAUCAGCCACACUGGAACUGAGACACGGUCCAGACUCCUACGGGAGGCAGCAGUGGGGAAUAUUGGACAAUGGGCGCAAGCCUGAUCCAGCCAUACCGCGUGGGUGAAGAAGGCCUUCGGGUUGUAAAGCCCUUUUGUUGGGAAAGAAAAGCAGCAGGUUAAUACCCCGCUGUUCUGACGGUACCCAAAGAAUAAGCACCGGCUAACUUCGUG
This 492-nucleotide ribosomal RNA is filed under the name uncultured bacterium. RNAcentral's name for it is "partial 16S ribosomal RNA". It matches the Rfam family "Bacterial small subunit ribosomal RNA", at positions 29 to 507 of the family's 1533-position model. The record is from RNAcentral.